RNAcentral lists this ribosomal RNA (373 nucleotides) under uncultured organism. RNAcentral describes it as "partial 16S ribosomal RNA". It matches the Rfam family "Bacterial small subunit ribosomal RNA", at positions 527 to 896 of the family's 1533-position model. The record is from RNAcentral.
GAACCGUCCAAACGUUAUUCGGAAUCACUGGGCUUAAAGGGUGCGUAGGCGGCCGUACAAGUCGGGGUGUGAAAUCCCUCGGGCUCAACCGAGGAAUUGCGCCCGAAACUGUGCGGCUAGAGGGAGACAGAGGUGAGCGGAACUGGCGGUGGAGCGGUGAAAUGCGUUGAUAUCGCCAGGAACACCAGUGGCGAAGGCGGCUCACUGGGUCUCUUCUGACGCUGAGGCACGAAAGCUAGGGGAGCGAACGGGAUUAGAUACCCCGGUAGUCCUAGCUGUAAACGUUGAGCACUGGAUCGGAGGGCCCUCCAUAACCUUCCGGUCGUAGCGAAAGUGUUAAGUGCUCCGCCUGGGGAGUAUGGUCGCAAGGCUG